GAUUAAUUUGAGUUAGGAAAUGAAAAUUACCUCUCCAACUCCAUUCGGGAGGACAUUGUGGUGUACUUCAUUCCACCCGGAUCACCCCUGGUUAUCAACGAUGUUCAACAACACCAUAAGCACAGUACUAGUUAGUUCUUCAAUCUUAGUACAAAUACCAACAACAUAGAUAAAAUCAUUUUUUUGUAAAAAGAUCCUAACAAGCUAAAAUUACCAAGACAAGCACAAUAAAGCAUAGUCAACACUUGUUGCAUUGUAUAACAUUUAUCUACCUCAGGAAUCUAACGAAGGAAACUCACACACCGCUUCAUCGGAUAGUGUCAUGUUCAAAGUCCUCAAACAAAUGGAAUACUUCUUGAUCUCAGAACGGGCCAUAGCUCCAUGCUCCCACAUUACUACAAGGUAAACUAAUGUAAAGUUCUAAAUUAUAAUCUUUCAACUAACUUUAAGCAACCCAAAUCUAACUUUUUGAAGGGAAUCAAAUAUCUUUUACUGUGGAAUAUAUUUUUAUGAGGAAUAUAUUUUUAUGAUUUGCCUUGUAAUAAGGGGCGGUAUAGUCCCCUUCUAUGCAAUUUUUGCCCGCAUCCCUAUUGUUAAUCAAUUAAGAAACAAAUAACAUGUAUAAGUACUUUAUAAUCUAAUCUCUACAUCUAUACCAAAUAAAGCAAGAAUCAUUGGCAAACAUUGAGAUUAAGAGCAAAGGAACAAAAUCAGAAAAUGUAUGCCUAACUUUCUGACCAGCAGACUUUUUUGGCUAAAAAUAGUAUAGCUCGGCUAAGAAUUUCAGGUUGGUCUCUUCGUAACAAUUGUAAAAGACAACCUAAAGAUCAAUCUGGAACUAGAAUCGCACAAAAAAGAAUUUUCUACAAUUACUAAUGAUUUUUCGAAGUUCAGUUCCAGUUCUAGUUUUUCUUUGAAAAUUUACUGAUAAUUACCCACCUUAAAGUUGAACAGAGGCUGAACUUGGACCUUUGAUUUUUUGUUCCCUUCAGCUCCUCCCUGCCAUUUAGCCAUACUGCAACAGAAAUAUCCAAACCCAAACCCUUACAUAUCAGAACAAGUCUUUCAAAUGACGAAACCACCAUCACCGACGACCGCAGAAGAAACUAGAAAACUCAAAACUUGACAAAACGAAGAACCAUUCACCAAGCUAUGUAGAGCUUGCGUAUUCCCCUAUCCUUCCCUUAGGAAGCUGCCCUGGGAAGCAGAAAUCGCGCCAAACAGUCCGGCUCCCAACCCCCUCCAUCCUCGCGCCAAGCCCAGCCUCCUCACAUCUCCGACCUCGAACCAAAUUGGAAGAAAUUGAACUAACCAACCCAGAAACUUAAUCUGAGAAAGGAGAAGAGUACAAACCUCGAACCAAAUUGGAAGAAAUUGAGUGAGGCGCCAAAUGGACGAACCCCCAAAUCAACGAACCCUAAUCGAGUGACAGCGGCUUAGUCUCUAUUGAGGGAGGAGUGAUUGAGUACGAGAGAGAAAGAAAUUGAGAGGAGUGAUUGAGAAGAAAUUGAGAAGGGUGAGAGCGGUUGCAUUCGAGAGAGAAAGAGUGAUAGGUGAGAGCGGUGAGUGUGUGUGUGUGUGUGAGCGAUAGGUUUUGAGCGAUACUUCUUUUUUUUUGUUCAAGUGUCAAGUCUUUUAGGUUUUUGAGUCAAGUGUUUCCAGAUCAUACAACAUAACUUCAAAUUUUGGUUGUCUGAGAAAUGACAUCCUUAAAUUGCAAGAGAGGGAGAUUUCCCGCUGCUACAUCUCAGUCUUAAUUUUUUCCCUAUCCAUUUUACAAAUCAGACAACAUAAAUUGUAUAUUUUGUUGUAUGAGAAGAAAUGACAUCCUUAAAUUACAAGAGCGUGAGAUUUUCCGCUGCUACAUCUCAGCCUUAAUUUUUUCCCUAUCCAUUUUACAAAUCAGACAACAUAAAUUGCAUAUUUUGUGUUGUCUGAGAAGAAACAAAAUAGAGACAUUCACUUAAUCUUGAGGGCGGGAAAUUUCCCGCUACUCUUCAUUCUAACGAGUCACUCUUUAAAAUAACCCUAGUUUUCACUCACACAAUGCAUAAAAGCACUAAGAGUUGUCUAAAUAUGAGACGCUUGUCAACGCAAACACGUCGAAAUGCAAUACUCUAAACAUUUUUUUAUUUUGUCGACACUCGUAUAAUCAUAUGGUUAUUAUGGAUGAACUCAUAUAAG
Molecule: long non-coding RNA, 2184 nt
Filed under: Fragaria vesca (wild strawberry)
Lineage: Eukaryota; Viridiplantae; Streptophyta; Magnoliopsida; Rosales; Rosaceae
Description: long non-coding RNA (FVES_LNC005395)
Source: RNAcentral